Molecule: ribosomal RNA, 608 nt
Filed under: uncultured bacterium
Lineage: Bacteria
Description: bacterial SSU rRNA
Rfam family: Bacterial small subunit ribosomal RNA
Source: RNAcentral
GCAAGAUUAAAACUCAAAGGAAUAGACGGGGAUCCGCACAAGCGGUGGAGCAUGUGGUUUAAUUCGACGAUACGCGAAGAACCUUACCUGGCCUUGACAUAGAAAGAACUUUCCAGAGACGGAUUGGUGCUAGUUUACUAGAGCUUUCAUACAGGUGCUGCACGGCUGUCGUCAGCUCGUGUCGUGAGAUGUUGGGUUAAGUCCCGCAACGAGCGCAACCCUCGUGUUUAGUUACUAACAGUUCGGCUGAGGACUCUAAACAGACUGCCUGGGUAACCAGGAGGAAGGUGAGGACGACGUCAAGUCAUCAUGGCCCUUACGGCCAGGGCUACACACGUGCUACAAUGGGGUAUACAAAGAGCUGCAAUACGGUGACGUGGAGCAAAUCCCAUAAAAUAUCUCCCAGUUCGGAUUGAAGUCUGCAACUCGACUUCAUGAAGUUGGAAUCGCUAGUAAUCGUAGAUCAGCAAUGCUACGGUGAAUACGUUCCCGGGUCUUGUACUCACCGCCCGUCACACCAUGGGAAUUGAAUUCAUUCGAAGCGGGGAUGCUAAAAUAGCUACCUUCCACAGUGGAUUUAGUAACUAGGGUGAAGUCGUAACAAGGUA